UACGUAGGUGGCAAGCGUUGUCCGGAAUUAUUGGGCGUAAAGCGCGCGCAGGCGGUCCUUUAAGUCUGAUGUGAAAGCCCACGGCUCAACCGUGGAGGGUCAUUGGAAACUGGGAGACUUGAGUGCAGAAGAGGAUAGUGGAAUUCCAAGUGUAGCGGUGAAAUGCGUAGAGAUUUGGAGGAACACCAGUGGCGAAGGCGACUAUCUGGUCUGUAACUGACACUGAGGCGCGAAAGCGUGGGAGCAACAGG
This 251-nucleotide ribosomal RNA is filed under the name uncultured bacterium. RNAcentral describes it as "partial 16S ribosomal RNA". It matches the Rfam family "Bacterial small subunit ribosomal RNA", at positions 524 to 776 of the family's 1533-position model. The record is from RNAcentral.